Molecule: ribosomal RNA, 443 nt
Filed under: uncultured bacterium
Lineage: Bacteria
Description: partial 16S ribosomal RNA
Rfam family: Bacterial small subunit ribosomal RNA
Source: RNAcentral
CCUACGGGAGGCAGCAGUGUGGGAUAUUGGACAAUGGGGGAAACCCUGAUCCAGCGACGCCGCGUGAGUGAAGAAGUAUUUCGGUAUGUAAAGCUCUGUCAGCAGGGAAGAAAGAAAUGACGGUACCUGACCAAGAAGCCCCGGCUAACUACGUGCCAGCAGCCGCGGUAAUACGUAGGGGGCAAGCGUUAGCCGGAAUUACUGGGUGUAAAGGGAGCGUAGACGGUGAUGCAAGUCUGGAGUGAAAGGCGGGGGCCCAACCCCCGGACUGCUCUGGAAACUGUGUAACUUGAGUGCAGGAGAGGUAAGCGGAAUUCCUAGUGUAGCGGUGAAAUGCGUAGAUAUUAGGAGGAACACCAGUGGCGAAGGCGGCUUACUGGACUGCAACUGACGUUGAGGCUCGAAAGCGUGGGGAGCAAACAGGAUUAGAUACCCCAGUAGUC